RNAcentral lists this ribosomal RNA (50 nucleotides) under Dicranum scoparium. Its description in RNAcentral is "partial 5.8S ribosomal RNA". It matches the Rfam family "5.8S ribosomal RNA", at positions 1 to 47 of the family's 154-position model. Rfam says of the family: 5.8S ribosomal RNA (5.8S rRNA) is a component of the large subunit of the eukaryotic ribosome. It is transcribed by RNA polymerase I as part of the 45S precursor that also contains 18S and 28S rRNA. Functionally, it is thought that 5.8S rRNA may be involved in ribosome translocation. The record is from RNAcentral. Lineage: Eukaryota; Viridiplantae; Streptophyta; Bryopsida; Dicranales; Dicranaceae. RNAcentral also lists the same sequence under 1 other name.
AACAACUCUCAGCAACGGAUAUCUUGGCUCUUGCAACGAUGAAGAACGCA